UUGAUUAUGAAUGAGUACAUCUAUAUUAAAGUAGUAUUUUCAUAUUUACCAGUGUUGGGGCUUCAGAGAUUUGGUUUUAGUAAUAAUUUAUUUGAUUAUGCAUUGUGAAUAAAUGAAAUAUUUUUAUAUUUUUCUAACUUGGCUAAAGGAAUUUCAGAUUAAGAAGUUUUAAGUACACAAUUAAUAUUUUAGGAAGUAGUUCUUUCUUUUGGGCUGGGAAUUAAAUUCAUUAAACAGGAAAAUAGUAAGAAACAGGAUGUGAUUUAAAAUGAGGUUGAUUUGUGGUUCAAUGACAAAUUAAAAAUGUGGCCUAUUUAACUUGAAAAAUGCACAACCUUUCAUGAUAGUAAAAACAUGAAAUGUAUAUGAUUGCAUGUGAGGCCUUAUAUGUAGUUAAAAGAUAACUCCUUCUGGUCAUUGGUUUCAUUCUUAGUAGUC
Molecule: long non-coding RNA, 438 nt
Filed under: Bos taurus (domestic cattle)
Lineage: Eukaryota; Metazoa; Chordata; Mammalia; Artiodactyla; Bovidae
Description: long non-coding RNA NONBTAT022361
Source: RNAcentral